This is a long non-coding RNA of Malania oleifera, 648 nucleotides long. RefSeq lists it as uncharacterized. NCBI's taxonomy places the organism in Eukaryota, Viridiplantae, Streptophyta, Magnoliopsida, Santalales, Ximeniaceae. The record is from RefSeq and is a predicted model, not a curated record. The transcript is spliced from 2 exons.
AGGCCAGUGAUGCACCGAGUUGAAUCAGUAAACAAAGAGGGGGAAACUGAGUGGAAAGGCACCGAUUUGAACCCAAUGUGAUUAUCUGAAUUUGUGAAAAAUACUGGAAUUGCACAGGUUACUGUUUUGCUAUAAAUUGUAUAUAUGAUAGUGGAACCAUAGCUUGUGACCAAAAGAGGUUGAAAGAAACUUCAGUAAAAGGGGUUGAAAAAUACUCCAGUUCGGGGGUUGAAAUAAACUCCUAGGGCUAGGUACUGAUGCUAGCAGUACAAUGCAACUAUACAUGAGAAAUCAGUAUGGGUACGUUAGAUGGUCGACUUGCGAGGAGUUAGUAAGUUGCUGGUAAAAAUAAACCAGGGGGCGGUCGGAUCAUAAAAGAUGCUCGACUUUUGUCUGCACGAACAAGACACUGUCAGAGGCAAUCAGUGCACAACCCGUGCCAUGAGGGUUUGCGGUUGUCACAACAUCAACACGAUACCAUGCACUGCAGUAGGAUGCAGCUUUUGAUUUUGUUUGUUUGUUUGUUUGUUUUUUUUUUUUGUUAUCUGAACAUAUGAGAUUCAUGUAUAAAACAUUCAGAAUUUGUAUAAUGUAUUUGUAUUUGAUUUUGAUUUAGAAUUUUUAAUAAUUUAUGAAUCUUUUUAAUUA